CAAGAGAUAGUUUAAUUAAAACAGUAGCUUUGGGAGUUACCAAUGUAAGUGAAAGCCCUACUCUCUUGA
This 69-nucleotide transfer RNA is filed under the name Temnopleurus hardwickii. Its description in RNAcentral is "tRNA-Pro". It matches the Rfam family "tRNA". From Rfam's summary of the family: Transfer RNA (tRNA) molecules are approximately 80 nucleotides in length. Lineage: Eukaryota; Metazoa; Echinodermata; Echinoidea; Temnopleuroida; Temnopleuridae. The record is from RNAcentral.